Molecule: long non-coding RNA, 206 nt
Organism: Haliotis rubra (blacklip abalone)
Lineage: Eukaryota; Metazoa; Mollusca; Gastropoda; Lepetellida; Haliotidae
Exons: 3
Source: RefSeq, a predicted model, not a curated record
CACGUGCUGAGUCCGUGCAAGACGACGCUAUAAAACCAUUGCACGUGAAGUCCGAGCUCUAAGUUACGUCGCUGACGGAAAGAUUCACCAUGUCUGUUGGAACCACCGUACUGGCCCUCCUCCUCGUCUCGGCCGUCGUCCGAGCGGAGAUUCCUGCCGGUUACAAUGCCCUGUGUAACCAUGCCAGGUCCAGUGUAGGUAACUCA